Molecule: unclassified non-coding RNA, 3231 nt
Filed under: Hevea brasiliensis (rubber tree)
Lineage: Eukaryota; Viridiplantae; Streptophyta; Magnoliopsida; Malpighiales; Euphorbiaceae
Source: RNAcentral
AAAGAAAAGAAAAUUAAUUAUGAUGUAAGCAUAACACAAGGAUGAGUUAAACAUGAUUUAAGCAUGAUGGAAUAAUAACAUAAUUAAAAUUUUAUUUCAAACUUUAGGAAGAUAAAUACUAAGCAAGAGACAAAUUUGACCAAAAAGAAAGUUCAUCUUCUUCCUCUCUACCCCUUGGCCGAAUCACAUCUGCAGUGGUCUUCUACCAUUUUCAAGCUUUUAAGCUUGAUUUUCCCAAGCUUCUCACCCUAAAACUUAUACUCCCCUUCACUAAAACUUGAUUUUGCACCUUGAGGAAGCUAGUGGCAGCAAAAAAUUGAAGAAAACUAAAAGUUUUACAAGCUUGAAAAUUUCUUGAACAAGGUUAAUGCAAGAUUAACCCUCUCUUCUUUAAUUAUGUUAAGCAAGUCUAAAGGAAUGAAAAUUGUGUGAAAAUGAAAUAAAAUAUUGACUAAUUGCAAGACCUAAAUUUUGGUCAGCCUAGGGAAGUGAGAGAUGUUGAGUUUAAUUGAAUUAAAAUCUAAAUUUUAGCUUAGAUACCGUGAAAGAUAUGAUGUACAUGUUGAAUUAUAUGUGGUAUGCAUGAAUUGAGUGUGGAAAAUAGGGUUUUGACCUAACUUUGAGAAAUCUUGUGUAUGACUUGAAAUUGAUGAUGUUGACAUGAUUUUUUGACCAUCAGAAGUGCUAUGAAUGUCAAUAACUUUCAUCAAGCAGUAAUCCCCAUAAUCUUAAUUGAUGAGAAACAAAGAAACACAAGGCAGAUUGAGAGAAACUAAAACUUAAAACAUACAUCUAUUGAACAAUCCUCAACGUACAAAUAGAAAAACACCUGUAUAAAUGGACCUACAUAAAGCAGCUUCCUUGCAAAAUUGCAUGAGAAAUUCCCAUCUACAGUCAAGCCUAUGAGUACAAGUCUGCAGAACCAAACUUAAAAAAAAUAAAAGAGGAUAAAAGUGAUCUUUGUAGUUGUUUUGUAAUUGAUACGAAACAUUAAACAUACAUUCAUGCUUCAGUGUGAUGUAAACUUGGGGGUCUCAAGCAGCAGCAGCAACACUGCCUUUCCUUCCAUCCAACACGUAACAAAUACCUUGUCAGAAUAUAUGCACGAUAUCAUAGGCAAAUGUCCAGAAUAGCACGAACGACAUAAGCCCACCAAAAAAGCCAUCAAGUAUAAUCCGGUUCCAAGAGUCAAAGUAUGAAUGAACAGAAAACUUUGCUUUGGCUAUGAGUCCUAUGGAAGUGAUUGCCAUGAUAAGGAAAUAAAAAAUAAAUCCAGUCAAACCCGUGAAUCCCAAAAUUCCAGCAAUCACCCCACCAAUGAUAGACAAAAAUGUCCGGCUGCAAAGAAAAUAAAGCUUAGAUUUAUGCUCCAGGGAGGCCCUCUCAUUAUAUUAAUCAACAACGAAAAAUCACAAAGUUUCAUUAGAAUAUAGCUCUGGGUCCUUUUUAAGUUUUUGAAACAAACCUGUAAUAUAUGACUUUCAUGUUACUUUGCAAAUUUUCAGCAUUGAAAGUUUGCAAAUCAUUAGCAUCUUCACUUGAUUUCUUCUCGGAUCCACCAGCCAUGCCUUCUACUAUAUAAUGAUCUAAUUUAUGCUCAACUUGUAGCACCACUGAGUAAACUCUGCUUAUGUCCCGAUUUGUUCCGGUUUAUAAAAGCGCAGAUUACAUCUUUCCAUUAAUUUUCACUUACGUCCUUGUAAUAUGAAAUAUUUAGAAUUAGUCCUCCAACUUUACAAAUUUGAAAUUCAUCACUUCAGGAGGCUAUUGAAACGACGUCGUUGUACUUCGCUUUUAUGGUUUGCCAUUGAUCACUCACCGGCAGCACCGACAAAAGGAGGGACUGCAACAGGGCUGAAGCUACCUGGAGCUGGAGUUAUGCGGAUGCGGUAUGCCUUUUUGUGGAUUUAAACGUUUUUCCUUUUGGAAAUCAAAUCAGUUAGCUGCUCAAGUGGGGUUUCAGGGGUUUUAGUUCUUUCAUUGGUUAAAUUUUGACUUUUGUUCUCAAAUGCAUCUGAAAGAGGGAUGUUCCUUGUUGUUAAAGGUCCACAACCUUCAAUCCCCUUUGUUUUAAACACAAAUCCAAUUCUCAAUCCGAACAAUAAACCCCAAAUUGAGCAAAAUCAAGCCCAUCUCAAAGAAUUUGAUGUUGUAAAGAGGUUGAAAAAUGAAUCCAGCAUUGUACUGGCUCUAGAUUACUUCAAGUCAAUAGCCAAUUCACAAGCUUUUCAACAUAGCCAAUUAACGUACCAAGCCAUGAUUGAAAAACUUGGUGCCCAACGCGAUGUAGAUGGUGUACAAUACCUUCUUCAGCUAAUGAAAUUAGAAGGAAUUAGCUGUAGUGAGGAUUUAUUUAUCUCUGUGAUCAAUACUUAUAGACGAGUUGGUUUAGCUGAGCAAGCGUUGAAAAUGUUCUAUAGAAUUGGGGAAUUUGGGUGCAAACCUACGGUUAAGAUAUAUAAUCAUCUUUUGGAUGCGUUGCUUAGUGAGAAUAGGUUUCAAAUGAUCAAUCCUAUAUAUAGCAACAUGAAGAGAGAUGGGAUGGAACCGAAUGUUUAUACUUAUAACAUCCUUUUGAAAGCCUUAUGCAAGAACAAUAGGGUUGAUGGGGCGUGCAAGUUGCUUGUGGAAAUGUCCAAUAAAGGAUGUAAUCCAGACGUGGUUAGCUGCACAACUGUCAUAUCUUCUAUGUGUAAGCUUGGUAGGGUGGAGGAGGCAAAGGAGCUUGCCAUGAAAUUUCAACCUAGUGUCCCUGUUUACAAUGCUUUGAUAAAUGGUUUUUGCAGAGAAUACAAAAUUAAGGAGGCAUUUCGGUUGUUAGGUCAAAUGGCGGAUAAGGGAAUUGAUGCCAAUGUCAUUACUUACUCAACCGUAAUCAAUUCUCUUUCAGAUAUGGGAAAUGUUGAAUUGGCUCUUGCAGUUUGGGCAAAGAUGUUUGUGAGAGGUUGUAGCCCCAAUGUUCACACCUUUACUUCCUUGAUGAAGGGCUAUUUCAUGGGAGGGAGAGUAUACGAGGCACUCAAUAUAUGGAACCAGAUGAUUCAAGAAGAAAUUGAGGCCAAUAUUGUUGGGUAUAACGCUCUAAUACAUGGUCUCAGCCUGCUCCCAUGGGAAAAUGGGAGAAGCUUUAUCUGUUUCCUGUAAAAUGGAGGGAAACGGUUGUUCUCCAAAUGUGAUCACAUAUAGCGCUCUCAUUGAUGGUUUUGCAAAAGCUGGUGACUUGGUUGGUGC